Molecule: ribosomal RNA, 301 nt
Filed under: uncultured bacterium
Lineage: Bacteria
Description: partial 16S ribosomal RNA
Rfam family: Bacterial small subunit ribosomal RNA
Source: RNAcentral
CAGUAGCCACGGUAAUACGAAGGGGGCUAGCGUUGUUCGGAUUUACUGGGCGUAAAGCGCACGUAGGCGGACUUUUAAGUCAGGGGUGAAAUCCCGGGGCUCAACCCCGAAACUGCCUUUGAUACUGGGAGUCUUGAGUUCGAGAGAGGUGAGUGGAAUUGCGAGUGUAGAGGUGAAAUUCGUAGAUAUUCGCAGGAACACCAGUGGCGAAGGCGGCUCACUGGCUCGAUACUGACGCUGAGGUGCGAAAGCGUGGGGAGCAAACAGGAUUAGAUACCCGCGUAGUCCCUGUCUCUUAUAC